UAGGGAAUCUUCGGCAAUGGACGAAAGUCUGACCGAGCAACGCCACGUGAGUGAAGAAGGUUUUCGGAUCGUAAAACUCUGUUGGUAGAGAAGAACGUUGGUGAGAGUGGAAAGCUCAUCAAGUGACGGUAACUACCCAGAAAGGGACGGCUAACUACGUGCCAG
This 165-nucleotide ribosomal RNA is filed under the name uncultured bacterium. Its description in RNAcentral is "partial 16S rRNA". It matches the Rfam family "Bacterial small subunit ribosomal RNA", at positions 355 to 511 of the family's 1533-position model. The record is from RNAcentral.